Molecule: long non-coding RNA, 1314 nt
Filed under: Apteryx rowi (Okarito brown kiwi)
Lineage: Eukaryota; Metazoa; Chordata; Aves; Apterygiformes; Apterygidae
Description: lncRNA (ENSARWG00000015043.1)
Source: RNAcentral
GGCGAAGCAAAAAGUCAGAUGACAGAUUGUCAAGAAAAGGGCAAAGUUUAUGRUCCAAAGGUAGAAAGAAAGUAACAGAUUUUAAGUAUGCUGAAAGGUGCACUAGGUAGGAGAAGGAGAAAUAAUCUGGUCUCAGAGGUUGUGAUGGUUCUACAUGAUGGAAUAGACCAUGGAGCCUUCAGUUAUGCCAUAGAGACUAAAGAGUAGUUUGAAAACAAAAAUUAAGACUUUUUUUUUUCCCACAGUGUUGAUUAGAAUCUGAUGAUAAGAAAUCCAGAAUGAGUUCCUGCAAAGACCAGCUGUGAAGGUACAAAGGGGAACCAUGGCAGUUGAGGAUGAGUAGAGGACAUUCUUGAAAAUAGGGAAAAGAAAGCAAGAGGAGAAACAAAAAGCAAGUGCCAGAAGUGUAUCCUCAGCAUAAAAGGACAGUUCAUAGGAGAAUGAUAGCAGUUUUAACUGAGGGACUGAAGAAUUGGAGACUGACAGUAAUGAGAAGAACUGAAGACUAUGGUGGCAUAAAGUAGCAGAGARGAAUAAAAGACAAAGGACAAUGAGGUGGAGAUUCAUUCUGAUAAGGGCAGAAGGCCAUGACCCCAGUGCAUGUCUCUCCUUCCCAGCAGGGACUGACAGGACGUGCCCUUCUCUUUGGAUUAGCUCAGGAAUUCUCCACCAGUGUUCCUCUCGCUGUGGUGUGCUAUCAAGCUACUCAGCACAAAUACCGAGAAGUCAUUCUUGUAAYAGGCAUCUGAGAGGAAAUGCUUACUCAGAGUGCCCCAUGUUUGGAGGAUAAUGUUGGAGAUGCUUGCCACAGAGAACAGUCACCGUAUGAAGUGGGGAUGUCUUCCUGAAAACAGACUGUACAUCAGGCAGCCCUUCUCUAGCAGCAGAAUACUUCUGUAGUUCACAGUUUGAGGAGCUGAUUACAGGAGAAGUUUGGCUGGUAUCAAAUGCUGUGUCAGUUUUACUUUCAUGCUUUAACUACGUUGCACUUAAUUAGGCUUUGUCCACUACCAUUUUAAAGGGCCAGGUGGUCACACAAUAGAAGGGAAAUUUUCUGGCUUUAGUAUGUGAGGUAUAAAUUAAAUAUCUUAUAGUUGUUGAACAUCUAUUGUAACUUAUGGACUGCACUUUCUCAUUCAUUAUAGGUGUGAACUAAACAAAUCUGGCUUUGACUCAAGUGAAUUUUGGCAUGUGUCAAUGCCCUACUGGCCUUUAGGCCUUUCACAAGCAUGUGAUUCCACAUUUUAUGUGGCUAUGUACUAGUGAACGGAAUGUUUAAAUAAAUAGCAAUUUGAGUCACUUAGUCUUGAAUCA